This 270-nucleotide long non-coding RNA is filed under the name Homo sapiens (human). RNAcentral describes it as "HSALNT0403226". Lineage: Eukaryota; Metazoa; Chordata; Mammalia; Primates; Hominidae. The record is from RNAcentral.
UCAUGCCUGUAAUCCCAGCACUUUGGGAGGCCAAGGCGGGUGGAUCACAAAGUCAGGAGAUGGAGACCAUCCUGGCUAACACGGUGAAACCCCGUCUCUACUAAAAAUACAAAAAAAUUAGCCGGGCGCGGUGGUGGGCGCCUGUAGUCCCAGCUACUCGGGAGGCUGAGGCAGGAGAAUGGCGUGAACCCGGGAGGCGGAGCUUGCAGUGAGCCGAGAUCGCGCCACUGCACUCCAGCCUGGGCGACAGAGCGAGACUCCGUCAAAAAA